GCUGGCGGCGUGCCUAAUACAUGCAAGUCGAACGAACUCUGGUAUUGAUUGGUGCUUGCAUCAUGAUUUACAUUUGAGUGAGUGGCGAACUGGUGAGUAACACGUGGGAAACCUGCCCAGAAGCGGGGGAUAACACCUGGAAACAGAUGCUAAUACCGCAUAACAACUUGGACCGCAUGGUCCGAGCUUGAAAGAUGGCUUCGGCUAUCACUUUUGGAUGGUCCCGCGGCGUAUUAGCUAGAUGGUGGGGUAACGGCUCACCAUGGCAAUGAUACGUAGCCGACCUGAGAGGGUAAUCGGCCACAUUGGGACUGAGACACGGCCCAAACUCCUACGGGAGGCAGCAGUAGGGAAUCUUCCACAAUGGACGAAAGUCUGAUGGAGCAACGCCGCGUGAGUGAAGAAGGGUUUCGGCUCGUAAAACUCUGUUGUUAAAGAAGAACAUAUCUGAGAGUAACUGUUCAGGUAUUGACGGUAUUUAACCAGAAAGCCACGGCUAACUACGUGCCAGCAGCCGCGGUAAUACGUAGGUGGCAAGCGUUGUCCGGAUUUAUUGGGCGUAAAGCGAGCGCAGGCGGUUUUUUAAGUCUGAUGUGAAAGCCUUCGGCUCAACCGAAGAAGUGCAUCGGAAACUGGGAAACUUGAGUGCAGAAGAGGACAGUGGAACUCCAUGUGUAGCGGUGAAAUGCGUAGAUAUAUGGAAGAACACCAGUGGCGAAGGCGGCUGUCUGGUCUGUAACUGACGCUGAGGCUCGAAAGUAUGGGUAGCAAACAGGAUUAGAUACCCUGGUAGUCCAUACCGUAAACGAUGAAUGCUAAGUGUUGGAGGGUUUCCGCCCUUCAGUGCUGCAGCUAACGCAUUAAGCAUUCCGCCUGGGGAGUACGGCCGCAAGGCUGAAACUCAAAGGAAUUGACGGGGGCCCGCACAAGCGGUGGAGCAUGUGGUUUAAUUCGAAGCUACGCGAAGAACCUUACCAGGUCUUGACAUACUAUGCAAAUCUAAGAGAUUAGACGUUCCCUUCGGGGACAUGGAUACAGGUGGUGCAUGGUUGUCGUCAGCUCGUGUCGUGAGAUGUUGGGUUAAGUCCCGCAACGAGCGCAACCCUUAUUAUCAGUUGCCAGCAUUAAGUUGGGCACUCUGGUGAGACUGCCGGUGACAAACCGGAGGAAGGUGGGGAUGACGUCAAAUCAUCAUGCCCCUUAUGACCUGGGCUACACACGUGCUACAAUGGAUGGUACAACGAGUUGCGAACUCGCGAGAGUAAGCUAAUCUCUUAAAGCCAUUCUCAGUUCGGAUUGUAGGCUGCAACUCGCCUACAUGAAGUCGGAAUCGCUAGUAAUCGCGGAUCAGCAUGCCGCGGUGAAUACGUUCCCGGGCCUUGUACACACCGCCCGUCACACCAUGAGAGUUUGUAACACCCAAAGUCGGUGGGGUAACCUUUUAGGAACCAGCCGCCUAAGGUGGGACAGAUGAUUAGGGUGAAGUCGUAACAAGGUAGCCGUAGGAGAACCUGCGGCUGGAUACCC
RNAcentral lists this ribosomal RNA (1527 nucleotides) under Lactiplantibacillus plantarum. Its description in RNAcentral is "Lactobacillus plantarum partial 16S ribosomal RNA". It matches the Rfam family "Bacterial small subunit ribosomal RNA". The record is from RNAcentral. Lineage: Bacteria; Bacillati; Bacillota; Bacilli; Lactobacillales; Lactobacillaceae.